This 868-nucleotide ribosomal RNA is filed under the name uncultured archaeon. Its description in RNAcentral is "bacterial SSU rRNA". It matches the Rfam family "Archaeal small subunit ribosomal RNA", at positions 1 to 878 of the family's 1478-position model. The record is from RNAcentral.
UUCCGGUUGAUCCUGCCGGACCCGACUGCUAUCAGAGUGGGACUAAGCCAUGCGAGUCAACGCCGCAAGGCGUGGCAUACGGCUCAGUAACACGUAGUCAACAUGCCCAGGGGACGUGGAUAACCUCGGGAAACUGAGGAUAAACCGCGAUAGGCCAAGGUUUCUGGAAUGGACACUGGCUGAAACCUAUAUGGCCCCUGGAUUGGACUGCGGCCGAUCAGGCUGUUGGUGAGGUAAUGGCCCACCAAACCUGUAACCGGUACGGGCUUUGAGAGAAGGAGCCCGGAGAUGGGCACUGAGACAAGGGCCCAGGCCCUAUGGGGCGCAGCAGGCGCGAAACCUCUGCAAUAGGCGAAAGCUUGACAGGGUUACUCUGAGUGAUGUCCGCUAAGGGCAUCUUUUGGCACCUCUAAAAAUGGUGCAGAAUAAGGGGUGGGCAAGUCUGGUGUCAGCCGCCGCGGUAAUACCAGCACCCCGAGUGGUCGGGACGAUUAUUGGGCCUAAAGCAUCCGUAGCUUGUUCUGCAAGUCCUCCGUUAAAUCCACCUGCUUAACAGAUGGGCUGCGGAAGAUACUAUAGAGCUAGGAGGCGGGAGAGGCAAGCGGUACUCGAUGGGUAGGGGUAAAAUCCGUUGAUCCAUUGAAGACCACCAGUGGCGAAGGCGGCUUGCCAGAAUGCGCUCGACGGUGAGGGAUGAAAGCUGGGGGAGCAAACCGGAUUAGAUACCCGGGUAGUCCCAGCUGUAAACGAUGCAGACUCGGUGAUGGGUUGGCCUCGCGCCUGCCCAGUGCCGCAGGGAAGCCGUUAAGUCUGCCGCCUGGGGAGUACGGUCGCAAGACUGAAACUUAAAGGAAUUGGCGGGGGAGCA